Molecule: ribosomal RNA, 253 nt
Filed under: uncultured bacterium
Lineage: Bacteria
Description: partial 16S ribosomal RNA
Rfam family: Bacterial small subunit ribosomal RNA
Source: RNAcentral
GACGGAGGAUGCAAGUGUUAUCCGGAAUCACUGGGCGUAAAGCGUCUGUAGGUGGUUUAAAAAGUCUGCUGUUAAAAAUUGAAGCUUAACUUCAAAGGUGCCGUAGAAACUUUUAAACUUGAGUAUGGUAGGGGUAGAGGGAAUUUCCAGUGGAGCGGUGAAAUGCGUAGAUCUUGGAAAGACCACCAAUGGCGAAGGCACUCUACUGGGCCAUUACUGACACUGAGAGACGAAAGCUAGGGGAGCAAAUGGG